UUAAUGAGUAUGCUAACUUUCAUAGGGAUGCUAUGGUUAGCAGCUUCGCCUCACACAAUAGAAGGCAACUGGUUCAAAUCCCAGCUGACGCCAUUCUGUGAGGACGUGAGAUGCUCCCCUACUGUCAAGGAGUGCUGCCGCAGUCAGUCUGAACAAGGCCUAACCCAUCACAAAGUAGCAGAUGGAUGAUUUAGUAACAGAACACUGCACAGGACUUCAUAUUAGUGAAAAAUAAAGAAGCAGUUUACACACAUGUGGCCACAAGGGGCUGAGUGAGGUGGGAACUGAGAGUUUUAGAGGGAAUUGGGAUCUGUCAGGUGUCAGUACCUCUCCUGACCGAGGCUGACAGCAUCACAUGCCCACCUCCCCCCCUCAAACCUCACCUCAAUCUCACCACCUCAUAGAAGCCGGCACUCCCACCCCCCUCACCCCACCCACUCUCAACCCUCUAACCCACCCAGCCACGGCACAGCACUGCCACCGCUCUGAAAGCCUAAACCAGAGAGGAGGAAGAGAGAGGCUCCUGACAGCGGAAACACAAGCACUUUAAAGCUCCAAACCCUUUCACUGAGAUCAAAGGGCCAUAGGAACUGAGCCAGCUGAGACCCAAGGAGAGAGGAGAGGGAGC
This is a long non-coding RNA of Pundamilia nyererei, 628 nucleotides long. RefSeq lists it as uncharacterized. The record is from RefSeq and is a predicted model, not a curated record. The transcript has 3 exons. Lineage: Eukaryota; Metazoa; Chordata; Actinopteri; Cichliformes; Cichlidae.